GGCUUGAUGCGCGGUCUGUAGG
RNAcentral lists this microRNA (22 nucleotides) under Equus caballus (horse). RNAcentral's name for it is "eca-miR-9184". Lineage: Eukaryota; Metazoa; Chordata; Mammalia; Perissodactyla; Equidae. The record is from miRBase by way of RNAcentral.